GUAAAUAUAGUUUAAAAAAAAUCUUGUUUUUGUAAUACAAAGUUAACUGUGGUUUAUUUACU
RNAcentral lists this transfer RNA (62 nucleotides) under Megalobenedenia derzhavini. RNAcentral describes it as "tRNA-Thr". Lineage: Eukaryota; Metazoa; Platyhelminthes; Monogenea; Capsalidea; Capsalidae. The record is from RNAcentral.